Molecule: ribosomal RNA, 466 nt
Filed under: Vreelandella stevensii
Lineage: Bacteria; Pseudomonadati; Pseudomonadota; Gammaproteobacteria; Oceanospirillales; Halomonadaceae
Description: partial 16S ribosomal RNA
Rfam family: Bacterial small subunit ribosomal RNA
Source: RNAcentral
CCUACGGGUGGCAGCAGUGGGGAAUAUUGGACAAUGGGGGCAACCCUGAUCCAGCCAUGCCGCGUGUGUGAAGAAGGCCCUCGGGUUGUAAAGCACUUUCAGUGAGGAAGAACGCCUGGUGGUUAAUACCCAUCAGGAAAGACAUCACUCACAGAAGAAGCACCGGCUAACUCCGUGCCAGCAGCCGCGGUAAUACGGAGGGUGCGAGCGUUAAUCGGAAUUACUGGGCGUAAAGCGCGCGUAGGUGGCUUGAUAAGCCGGUUGUGAAAGCCCCGGGCUCAACCUGGGAACGGCAUCCGGAACUGUCAAGCUAGAGUGCAGGAGAGGAAGGUAGAAUUCCCGGUGUAGCGGUGAAAUGCGUAGAGAUCGGGAGGAAUACCAGUGGCGAAGGCGGCCUUCUGGACUGACACUGACACUGAGGUGCGAAAGCGUGGGUAGCAAACAGGAUUAGAUACCCCGGGUAGUC